GGGGCAGUAGCUCAGUGGUAGAGCUCCCACUUCAUAUACGGUAAACAUGGAUUCGAUUGCCGGCUGCUUCC
RNAcentral lists this transfer RNA (71 nucleotides) under Toxocara canis (dog roundworm). It matches the Rfam family "tRNA". From Rfam's summary of the family: Transfer RNA (tRNA) molecules are approximately 80 nucleotides in length. Their secondary structure includes four short double-helical elements and three loops (D, anti-codon, and T loops). The record is from Rfam by way of RNAcentral. Lineage: Eukaryota; Metazoa; Nematoda; Chromadorea; Rhabditida; Toxocaridae.